RNAcentral lists this long non-coding RNA (368 nucleotides) under Nicotiana benthamiana. Its description in RNAcentral is "long non-coding RNA (NBEN_LNC016980)". Lineage: Eukaryota; Viridiplantae; Streptophyta; Magnoliopsida; Solanales; Solanaceae. The record is from RNAcentral.
AUACUGUGUGUUUCUUGGGUGAGUUCCAAUUUGUUUUAUUUUGCUUUCAUUGGAGUAUACUAUGCGUUUCUUGGGUGAGUCCCAGUUUGCUUAAUUUCGUUUUCAUUGGAGAAUGUUGUGCGUUUCGUAUUCUGAACCAACAAGAGAAAUCGCCCGUUACCUUGGCCUGGCUAGUCGGCGAAAGGUGGAAUGACGUUGUAGGGUCGCUCGCUUCAACUCGUAUUUGAAUGAUCGUUACAGUUUUGGCAGUCGUGUUCGACUUCGUCAUUAAUCGCUUCUAGGAUUCGCGUGGUUUGGACUUACCUCGUCCGUUGGGACAUCGAGACCGAGUCACAAUCCGACCCAACCGAUACGCACAAACAAUAAGG